CAGCAGCCGCGGUAAUACAGAGGGUGCGAGCGUUAAUCGGAUUUACUGGGCGUAAAGCGUGCGUAGGCGGCUUUUUAAGUCGGAUGUGAAAUCCCUGAGCUUAACUUAGGAAUUGCAUUCGAUACUGGGAAGCUAGAGUAUGGGAGAGGAUGGUAGAAUUCCAGGUGUAGCGGUGAAAUGCGUAGAGAUCUGGAGGAAUACCGAUGGCGAAGGCAGCCAUCUGGCCUAAUACUGACGCUGAGGUACGAAAGCAUGGGGAGCAAACAGGAUUAGAUACCCCGGUAGUCCCUGUCUCUUAUCA
Molecule: ribosomal RNA, 301 nt
Filed under: uncultured bacterium
Lineage: Bacteria
Description: partial 16S ribosomal RNA
Rfam family: Bacterial small subunit ribosomal RNA
Source: RNAcentral